Long non-coding RNA from Mesoplodon densirostris (Blainville's beaked whale), 975 nucleotides. RefSeq lists it as uncharacterized. The record is from RefSeq and is a predicted model, not a curated record. The transcript has 4 exons. Lineage: Eukaryota; Metazoa; Chordata; Mammalia; Artiodactyla; Ziphiidae.
UCAAACAAGCAUUUAUUGGGCGCCUCCCGUGUGCCAGGCACGGUGCCCGGGGAGGCUGAAUACAUCUCAGCUCAACCCCCGCCCUCCCAGCGCUCCCCUCUGGGAGUUUGACCAGCACGGAGCCUGGGCUUGGCCUGGCUGGUCCCAUUUCACAGAAGAGGAAACUGAGGCCAGAGAGGGGGUGCUGGUGCAGGUACUGGAGACACAGCCAGGAACAAUGACAAUCUCCAUUCCCCAGAGCAGCUUUAUAACUCCUGUCUGAAUCGACCUCGUCUGGGACUGUGCACCCCGGGCGCCCUGCGUGGCCGCGAGAGCCCCACCAGCAUUGAUUCCGCGGUUACCCAUACAUGUCAGUGAAGCAGCAAACUUGCGGUUGUGGGAUCUGCGAAUCCUGAGGACAGACUGUGUACCGUUUCAGCUCGGGAGGCUGGACGUCCAAAGUCAAGGUGUCAGCAGGGCUGUGCUCUUCCUGAAGGGUCCAGAGAAAAAUCCUUCCUUGCCCCUCCCUAGCUUCUGCUGGUUGCCUGUGACCCUGCGAGUUCCUUGGUUUGCAGAUGCAUCUGCCUCCCUUGUCACAUGGUUUUCUUCCCUGUGUACAUGUACCCAAUUUCCGCUCCCCCCCCCCUUUAUGAUGGAUUUAGGGCCCAGUAUGGCCUCAUGUUAACUUGAUGACAUCAAGACCCUGUUUCCAAAGAAGAUCACAUUCACAGGUUCUGGGUGGAUGUGAAUUUGGUGGGGGGACCCUAUCCAACCUAGUCCAUGGGGCUGUUUUAGUAUGGGGACAUCAUGGGUGACCUCCUGGAGGAGGUGACGUUUGAACACGCCCCGAUGGAAGUGCGGGAGAUCUGGGGGUAAGAGGCAGAGGGAAGAGCUGGUACAAAGGCCCUGAGGUUGGGCUGUGCUUGACUUGUUCUGGUAUCAUUCAGAGGCCCACGUGGCUGGAGCAGAGUGAGCGAGCGGGAGAGAGGAAGGGAG